RNAcentral lists this transfer RNA (74 nucleotides) under Salvia splendens (bonfire salvia). It matches the Rfam family "tRNA". From Rfam's summary of the family: Transfer RNA (tRNA) molecules are approximately 80 nucleotides in length. The record is from Rfam by way of RNAcentral. Lineage: Eukaryota; Viridiplantae; Streptophyta; Magnoliopsida; Lamiales; Lamiaceae.
AGGGAUGUGGCACAGCUUUGUAGCGCAUUUGUUCUGGGUACAAAAUGUCACAGGUUCAAAUCCUGUCAUCCCUA